This 406-nucleotide ribosomal RNA is filed under the name uncultured bacterium. RNAcentral's name for it is "partial 16S ribosomal RNA". It matches the Rfam family "Bacterial small subunit ribosomal RNA", at positions 29 to 526 of the family's 1533-position model. The record is from RNAcentral.
AAUGAACGCUGGCGGCAGGCCUAACACAUGCAAGUCGAACGAGUGGCGGACGGGUGAGUAAUCGCGGGGGAACUGCCCGAUGGAGGGGGCUAACUCCUGGAAACGGUAGCUAAUACCGCAUAACAUAGGAUGUGGCCGGCUGGGAUUAGCUAGUGGGUGGGGUAACGGCUCACCUAGGAGACGAUCCCUAGCUGGUCGGAGGGGAUGAGCGGCCACACGGGAUCUGAGGCACGGUCCAGACUCCUACGCUAGGCAGCAGUGGGGAAUCUUGCACAAUGGGCGAAGGCCGGAUGCAGCAAAGCCGCGUGUAUUAAGAAGGCCUUCGGGUUGUAAAGUACUUUCAGCUAGGAGGCGUUACUCGCAGAAGAAGCCCCGGCUAACUCCGUGCCAGCAGCCGCGGUAAUUC